This 305-nucleotide ribosomal RNA is filed under the name uncultured bacterium. Its description in RNAcentral is "bacterial SSU rRNA". It matches the Rfam family "Bacterial small subunit ribosomal RNA", at positions 333 to 635 of the family's 1533-position model. The record is from RNAcentral.
UUCUUCCUACGGGGGGCAGCAGUGAGGAAUAUUGGUCAAUGGGCGGGAGCCUGAACCAGCCAAGCCGCGUGAGGGAAGAAGGUACAGCGUAUCGUAAACCUCUUUUGUCAGGGAACAAAGGCGGGGACUAGUCCCCGGAUGAGGGUACCUGAAGAAAAAGCAUCGGCUAACUCCGUGCCAGCAGCCGCAGUAAUACGGAGGAUGCAAGCGUUAUCCGGAUUUAUUGGGCGUAAAGGGAACGCAGGCGGUCGUUUAAGGCUGAUGUGAAAGCCUUCGGCUUAAUCGGAGUAGUGCAUUGGAAACUG